Molecule: non-coding RNA, 256 nt
Organism: Pelobates cultripes (western spadefoot toad)
Lineage: Eukaryota; Metazoa; Chordata; Amphibia; Anura; Pelobatidae
Source: the annotation of a GenBank genome assembly
UUGAAGAUCUGGUCAUAAAGCACGACUAUGAUCCAGAAACGCCCCAUAACUGUUUUGAACAGAUGAAAAUGGAAACAACACAUUUGCCAAUCCUGACCUCACCCUGUUUGUGGACGGCUCAAGGUAUGCUGAUGAAGAAGGAAAAUAUCACACAGGAUAUGCCGUCACCACAACAGAUGAAAUUAUCAAGUCAUCAUCUCUACCAUCAACAAUGUCUGCGCAGGAAGCUGAAUUACAAGCCCUAACUUCAGCAUGC